GGGGCUCUUAUUCACUCCCACCCUGCUUCCCCCACUGACUUCAUCACAGGACCUAUCAUUUCCCUCCAUCUCUGUCUUAGUCUAUUUUGUGUGGCUAUAACAAACUAACACAGACUGGGUAAUUUAUAAAGAACAGAUAUUUAUUUCACUCAUGGUUCUGCAGACUGGGAAGGCCAAGAUUGAGGGGCUGCAUCUUGUGAGGGCCUUCUUAUUACAUUGUCCCAUGGGUGAAGGUGAAGUGGAGUAGAGGAGUGAACUCACUUUUGUAUCACACUCACUCUUGCAAUAUCAACCCCACUCCAGUGGGCAUCCCUGUCCAAUAACAACAUUUAUCUACCUCACUACACUGUUGCAUUAGGGAUUGAGUUUUGUAACACAUGAACACGGGGCACAAAUUCAAGCCACAGCAAUCUUGCUGUCCGAAGUGCUUAUCCCUCUUUCCCACCUAGUUGACCACUUCUCAUCUUUCAGGCCUCACUGCCCUUUCCUGUAGGGAAGCAGAGGAUGAUUUUCUGACCCUCUGACUAGGUUAGGCUUUCCCUACACAGGCACACACAGUGCACAGCAGGGUCUUCUUCAUUGAAAUUGUCACUGCUACAGAUAAUAUUUGUGCUGUUAUAUGGUUCUGCCCUGUAAUAGCCAUUAGUGGCACAUUCUGGCUCUCUCUCCUAGGCACAUGGUACAAUUCUACAUCCCUCUGCACUUGAAAUUAGAUGGGUCUCUGUUACUUUGGCAAAUGAAAUGUGAGCCCAAGUAACCUGUCACUUCUGGGCAGAAGCUGUAAGAGCCAGGGCAUUCUUUUUCCUUCUGGCAUGGUGACUGGCAAUGUUCCACAUGUUGAUUGCUCCACCAGCUGAUGACCCUGAUGAACAGGGCCCCCAAUAAUACAAGAGGGACAUACAGUGUAAAGUAAUAAACUUUUGCUGUUUUAUGGAAAGCAUUGGUAGUUUUAGAGGUUUGUUACCAUAACAUUACCUACUUCAUCGUUACUGAUAUAAUGUUUUUUUUUUCUCUCCAUAGAUUUCAAGUGUCACAAGGGUGGGAGCUAUAUCUGUUGUGUUAGGCACAUAAUAAAUGUUGAAUAAAAUAUCUACUUCAUUGAUUCUAAUAAAGACUCUAUCCCUUAAUCUAUUCUCA
Molecule: long non-coding RNA, 1137 nt
Filed under: Marmota monax (woodchuck)
Lineage: Eukaryota; Metazoa; Chordata; Mammalia; Rodentia; Sciuridae
Source: RNAcentral